Molecule: long non-coding RNA, 409 nt
Filed under: Malus domestica (apple)
Lineage: Eukaryota; Viridiplantae; Streptophyta; Magnoliopsida; Rosales; Rosaceae
Description: long non-coding RNA (MDOM_LNC006913)
Source: RNAcentral
ACAUUCUUUACUACAAUUGAUACAAGAGGGUUUAAUUUGUGUGUUAAGUAAUUUUCGCAUCAAGUUUUUGGCGCCGUAUGGGGAUUAGCAACUUUGCUAAUCCCUUGUUAUUUCUUUUUGUAUAUUUUCAUGUCUUUUGUUUUUAGUUACUGACUUUGUUUCUGUUUGUGUUUUUUUUUUUUGUUUAUUUUACUUUUGAUAUUUGAUUUAGUUUUGUUUCCUUGAUUUCAGGUACUAGAGAAGUAAGACAUGAAUUUUGCUACCAUUCAAGCUCAAUUGGCGAAACUUAUUUCUCAAUUGUCAUAAUAUCCCGAAAGGACCACAAUGCAAAGUGUCCCUACAUAUGGUGUGUCCUAUGGGCAAGGAUAUCCAACUCAUCAAUGUUUUCAAUUCGUUGCGAAUGAAGAUG